AUUCUGAGCCGCACAUAAAAAAAAAUCAAGGAAGGAAACCUGCCCUGGUGCCUUCUGUGAUCUUGCUGAGUUUGUUUUAAGCUACAAACCAAUGCAAAACUUGAUCUUUUAAAAAGCUCUCUUUAAAAAGGCUUGCAAAGAACUGUCUCAGCAGAGGAACUAUAAGAAAAAAUACAUUAUUUGAACAGCUGAAGAUCAAUUCAGAGACUUUACGAUGGGAAUAUUCUGACCUCCAGACACUCUAUAUUGACAGCUAUGAUGAACAGCUACACAAAUUCCUGAAUUAUGACACUUUAUUGUCUAAGGCAGAAAAGCAAAUGGCACUCCUAACCUCUAUAUAAGAUAUCACCAGUAGCAUAAGAGAGCUUGAAGGUCUUCCUAGCCGAACACUAUAGAACCUACACAGACUAUCCCUUCCUCCCACUUUCCAGAUGAGAACAAUGUUGAGCUCUUGC
Crotalus tigris (Tiger rattlesnake) is the source of this 455-nucleotide long non-coding RNA. RefSeq lists it as uncharacterized. Lineage: Eukaryota; Metazoa; Chordata; Lepidosauria; Squamata; Viperidae. The transcript is spliced from 4 exons. The record is from RefSeq and is a predicted model, not a curated record.